CUCGCAGGCCGGGUGACCGCGGGCCUCUCCACCAGGAGCGGCUCGAGGAAAGUCCGGACACCGCAGGGCAGGACGCUGGGGAUACCCAGGCGGCGAAAGCCGACGGAAAGUGGCACAGAAAGGAGACCGCCAGCGGCAUAGCUCAUGAGGUGCCGAAGGUAAGGGUGAAACGGUGGGGUAAGAGCCCACCAGCGCCGUGGCGACACGGCGGCUAGCCAAACCCCGUCCGGUGCAAGGCGAACAGGCUCCGUAGACGCUGCCCGCCGAGGAGCUGGGUAAGCCGCCCAGAGGGAUGGUCAUCCAAGACAGAAUCCGGCUUACAGGCCUGCUACGGAA
This 336-nucleotide RNase P RNA is filed under the name Actinomycetota bacterium. Its description in RNAcentral is "RNase P RNA component class A". It matches the Rfam family "Bacterial RNase P class A". From Rfam's summary of the family: Ribonuclease P (RNase P) is a ubiquitous endoribonuclease, found in archaea, bacteria and eukarya as well as chloroplasts and mitochondria. Its best characterised activity is the generation of mature 5'-ends of tRNAs by cleaving the 5'-leader elements of precursor-tRNAs. The record is from RNAcentral. Lineage: Bacteria; Bacillati; Actinomycetota.